This 253-nucleotide ribosomal RNA is filed under the name uncultured bacterium. Its description in RNAcentral is "partial 16S ribosomal RNA". It matches the Rfam family "Bacterial small subunit ribosomal RNA", at positions 524 to 776 of the family's 1533-position model. The record is from RNAcentral.
UACGGAGGGUGCAAGCGUUGUCCGGAAUCACUGGGCGUAAAGGGCGCGUAGGCGGCCUGGUAAGUAGGGGGUGAAAUCCUGCGGCUUAACCGCAGGGCUGCCUUCUAAACUGUCAGGCUUGAGCACGGUAGAGGCAGAUGGAAUUCCCGGUGUAGCAGUGGAAUGCGUAGAGAUCGGGAAGAACAUCAGUGGCGAAGGCAGCCAUCUGGACCGACACUGACGCUGAGGCGCGAAAGCGUGGGGAGCAAACAGG